RNAcentral lists this transfer RNA (83 nucleotides) under Clostridium perfringens. RNAcentral's name for it is "tRNA-OTHER". It matches the Rfam family "tRNA". From Rfam's summary of the family: Transfer RNA (tRNA) molecules are approximately 80 nucleotides in length. Their secondary structure includes four short double-helical elements and three loops (D, anti-codon, and T loops). Further hydrogen bonds mediate the characteristic L-shaped molecular structure. tRNAs have two regions of fundamental functional importance: the anti-codon, which is responsible for specific mRNA codon recognition, and the 3' end, to which the tRNAs corresponding amino acid is attached (by aminoacyl-tRNA synthetases). tRNAs cope with the degeneracy of the genetic code in two manners: having more than one tRNA (with a specific anti-codon) for a particular amino acid; and 'wobble' base-pairing, i.e. permitting non-standard base-pairing at the 3rd anti-codon position. Lineage: Bacteria; Bacillati; Bacillota; Clostridia; Eubacteriales; Clostridiaceae. The record is from RNAcentral.
GUCGAUGUAGCUUAACGGUAAAGCACUAGGGACAUGUCGUAAAAGACUAGAUAUAAUUGGUUCAAUUCCAAUCAUCGGCACCA